This 466-nucleotide ribosomal RNA is filed under the name uncultured bacterium. RNAcentral's name for it is "partial 16S ribosomal RNA". It matches the Rfam family "Bacterial small subunit ribosomal RNA", at positions 28 to 507 of the family's 1533-position model. The record is from RNAcentral.
GAUGAACGCUGGCGGCGUGCUUAACACAUGCAAGUCGAACGAUGAAGCCCAGCUUGCUGGGUGGAUUAGUGGCGAACGGGUGAGUAACACGUGAGUAACCUGCCCUUAACUCUGGGAUAAGCCUGGGAAACUGGGUCUAAUACCGGAUAGGAGCGCCUACCGCAUGGUGGGUGUUGGAAAGAUUUAUCGGUUUUGGAUGGACUCGCGGCCUAUCAGCUUGUUUGUGAGGUAAUGGCUCACCAAGGCGACGACGGGUAGCCGGCCGGAGAGGGUGACCGGCCACACUGGGACUGAGACACGGCCCAGACUCCUACGGGAGGCAGCAGUGGGGAAUAUUGCACAAUGGGCGAAAGCCUGAUGCAGCGACGCCGCGUGAGGGAUGACGGCCUUCGGGUUGUAAACCUCUUUCAGUAGGGAAGAAGCGAAAGUGACGGUACCUGCAGAAGAAGCACCGGCUAACUACGUG